Molecule: long non-coding RNA, 1039 nt
Filed under: Bemisia tabaci
Lineage: Eukaryota; Metazoa; Arthropoda; Insecta; Hemiptera; Aleyrodidae
Description: lncRNA ENSASIAIIG010949
Source: RNAcentral
UUUUCCUCACAAAAGUAACAAAGCAUCCUCCAUUCCUCAAUCAAAAUUCAGAGCUAAGCUCAAUACAUCGACGAAAGUUUGAUGUCACUUUUAUACGGCUGGGUAUAAAAAGCUCGUAGACUUGAACAUCGUCACAGUUGCAGUUUUCUGCUACAUAGGAACUUACUCCUCUGGUCAACUUUCCUAAUUUGAAAUUUUCAAAUAUGCAGAAAGUGUGCGCAGUUUUGGCUUUUGCCGCCAUAGUGAGCCCCUGCGUGGCGUCACUCUAUGACGGACUAGGGUACAACAACGUCUACCCUUCCUGCUCAUCGCAAAGCUAUUCGGUAGGAAGCCCCGGUGUGUAUCUUCAGUCUGGAACCAACUUGGUUCCAACCUCCACCUCAUACGGCUGCAAUUCAUCCCCUUAUGUUUACGGCUCGACUUUGAUUCCAACCAUUCCCACUCAGUGUGGAACAUCGGUAGUGUCCGGAACCGGCUGCUAUUCAACCCCCGUGACGGUCCAAACCGUGCCAACCUACAUCACAUCCCCCAACUGCGGUUCCUCGACCCCCGUGAUUAUCCAGACGACUCCCAGUUGCGGCUGUCAGUCAUCCCCAGUUACUGUGCAACCCGGAGUUGGAACUUAUAUCACAUCCCCUAACUGUGGCUGCUCUUCGACCCCUGUCGUUAUCCAGACAACUUCCAACUGCGGCUUUUCUUCUUGUGCUUCUCCAGUGACUGUACAACCCUAUGUCACAACCACCAACUGUGGUUCCAGCUGCAAUAGUUGUAAUUGUAAUGGUUACCAGGGUUGCUUCUCGAAUUACAACGGCGGCUGUAGUUGUGGCUCAGGUUGUUAUAACAGUCCUUGCUCAACAUCAGAUUCCUGUGGCUCAUACCAAACCUAUUGCUGAGAGGUUUCAGAUUGCUGGAAAGUUAGUAAAGUAUUUUUAUGUACUUUUGUCGUCCAUAGUAUUUCCAAAAUAAGUUUUAUUGUCACGUUCUACAUGCCUGAGAGGCUGAAAUAUGAAAAAUAAAUUGUCUUGUAUUAUCUUUGAAU